This 2688-nucleotide ribosomal RNA is filed under the name Triticum aestivum (bread wheat). RNAcentral describes it as "partial small subunit ribosomal RNA". Lineage: Eukaryota; Viridiplantae; Streptophyta; Magnoliopsida; Poales; Poaceae. The record is from RNAcentral.
AUGGUGGCUACUCCCAUUCUGCACCACCUCCACAUCCUCACGCUCCUCCUCAUAUGCUCCUGUUCCAUGCACGCUUCAGCCAACACCACCACCGCCGUCCCCUGCCUCCCAGACCAAGCCUCGGCCCUCCUCCACCUCAAACAUUCCUUCACACAUGCAAACCUACCGUCAUGGCGAGCUGGAAAAGACUGCUGCCACUGGGAGGGCGUCGCGUGCGACGCAGCCUCCGGAAGGGUCAUCUCCCUUAACCUCAGCAACAUCGACGCAACGAUCCACCGCGUCGACACCGCACUCCUCAACCUCACCUCCCUGAAGAGCUUGAGCCUCACCACCACACGCAUUUCCGAGGGGCUCUCUACACUGAGCAAGCUUCCCUCACUGAACACUCUGGAGCUUCAUGGGUUGAGCUCCUCGGACCUGGUAGGCCCGGAGCUAUCUUCGAUUGGCGAUAUCAGGCAGCUGACAUCUCUGCACCUCGAGGGCUAUGAUUUCUCUCGGUCACAACCCUCUUGGAUCGGCAAUCUGACGGGCUUGGCGCACCUGCGCAUGCACGGUUGCAGUUUCGCCGGGCCAGUGCCUGAUCAGAUUGGCACUCUUGCAAAGCUGACGCUGCUGGAUUUGGAAAAUUGCAACUACACCGGGCAAUCGGUUCCUUCAUGGAUUGGAAACCUUACAAGGUUGACAACGUUGAGUAUCCAAGGUUGCCGGCAUUCUGGGUCGAUUCCCUCGGCAAUCGCAAACUUGACCCGGCUUGAAGUUAUACGGCUAGGGAACAACAGCCUUGUCGGGAAAAUUCCACAAUCGUUGUUCGCUUUUCCAGCAUUGAAAGUGCUUUCCCUAAAGAACAAUCAACUCUCUGGUCAUCUUGAAGACAUUCCUUUCCCUCUAUAUUCAUCCUUGUCUACUGUUGAGAUAAACGACAACCAGUUAACUGGCCAUAUACCCAAAUCAAUCCUUCAGCUUAAACAUCUUGAAUACCUCAACCUUGAAUCAAAUAGAUUGUCAGGCACAAUCAAACUAAGCCCUUUCUGGAGGUUGGAGAGACUCUUUUUUCUUAGUCUAUCCAAUAACAAGCUAUCAAUCGCCGACGAAGAAGGUGCUGACGUUUUAAAAUCUCUUCCUAACAUCUACCAGAUACACCUUGCAUCCUGCAACCUCACAAAAUUUCCGGGUUCACUGAGAUAUCUAGAUAAAGUUUCUGUUCUUGACCUUUCAAGUAAUCAAAUAAAUGAUGUUAUACCAAGUUGGGUAUGGGAGAACUGGAAGGACCAGCUUGAGAGUUUGAACCUCUCGCGCAACAUGUUCACGGCUUUGGAGAAGUUUCCUUCUCUUGUUCAUAUGCCACGCCUAACUGCUCUUGAUCUCAGCUUUAAUAGGCUUCAAGGCAGCAUACCAAUACCGGUAACUGCAGUGUCUGGGAAUGUAUUAGAUUAUUCAAACAAUAACUUCUCUUCCAUUCUUCCUGACUUUGGAAGAUAUAUUAGAAGCUUCUACCUCAAUUUGUCCAAGAAUAAAUUAAAUGGUUAUGUACCAUCUUCCAUCUGCAGUGCAAGCCAUCUCAAUAUCUUGGACCUGUCUUAUAACAAUUUUAGUGGAUCACUCCCAUCAUGCCUUAUUGGAAGUGGGAAACUAACCGUGUUGAAGUUGAGAGAAAAUCAAUUCAACGGGACGUUCCCUGAAAAUAUUAGAGAGGAGUGCAAGUUUCGAACAAUAGAUUUGAACAGAAAUCAAAUUGAAGGUGAACUACCAAGAGCAUUGUUAAAUUGUCAAGACUUAGAGCUUCUUGAUAUUGGUAACAAUCAGGUCCGCGGUUCCUUUCCAUCUUGGUUGGACAUUCUUCCAAAGCUUCGGGUCCUUGUCUUACGGUCCAACCAGCUCAAUGGAACAAUAAGGGAUCUUGAUGGUGACCAUGGAACCACCAACCAGUUCCCUAGUUUGCAAAUACUCUGUUUGGCUUCCAACAGAUUCUAUGGACACCUGCCAAAAGGAUGGUUUAAUAAAUUCAAAGCAAUGAUGGAAAAUGUCAACGAGGAGGGACGAGUUUUAGGCUAUUACACAAACACAACGCAUGGAUUUUAUCAAGACACUGUUACCAUCACACUUAAGGGAUCCGACCUUAUUUUCACCAAGAUUCUAACUACUUUCAAAGCAAUCGAUUUCUCAAACAACUCAUUUGAUGGCCAUUUUCCAGAGUCAAUUGGGAAUCUUGUUUCGCUUCACGGGGUUAAUAUGUCAUCCAACAACUUCACGGGACAAAUGCCAUCUAGCUUCAGUAACUUGUCUCAGCUGGAAUCGUUGGACCUCUCUUGGAACCGGAUUUCAGGAGAAAUCCCGCAAGUGCUGACCUCUCUUACCUCUCUUGCUUGGUUGAAUCUUUCAUACAACAACUUGGUUGGAAGAAUACCGCAGGGUAACCAGUUCUUGUCAUUUCCCAAUAGUUCAUUUGAAGGCAACGUGGGGCUAUGUGGAAAUCCGCUCUCUAAACAAUGUGAGACUACAGAUUCAACUGCUUCAAGUGCAUUGGCCCCUCCUGAACCUUAUAAUUUGUGGCAGGAUAGACUUGAUGCCAUCCUUCUCUUCACAUUUGUUGGCCUGGGGUUUGGAGUGGGCUUUGCAUCGGCAAUUACGUUCCGAAUGUUUUGCCACAUCAAAGGAUUGGACUGCAAGCAAUGCAACAAGGAAGUAUGA